Molecule: ribosomal RNA, 398 nt
Filed under: uncultured Leptolyngbyaceae cyanobacterium
Lineage: Bacteria; Bacillati; Cyanobacteriota; Cyanophyceae; Leptolyngbyales; Leptolyngbyaceae
Description: bacterial SSU rRNA
Rfam family: Bacterial small subunit ribosomal RNA
Source: RNAcentral
GGAUUGACAUCCUACGAAUCUUCUUGAAAGGGAAGAGUGCCUUCGGGAGCGUAGAGACAGGUGGUGCAUGGCUGUCGUCAGCUCGUGUCGUGAGAUGUUGGGUUAAGUCCCGCAACGAGCGCAACCCUCGUCCUUAGUUGCCAUCAUUAAGUUGGGCACUUUAAGGAGACUGCCGGUGACAAACCGGAGGAAGGUGGGGAUGACGUCAAGUCAUCAUGCCCCUUACAUCCUGGGCUACACACGUACUACAAUGCAACGGACAAAGGGCAGCCAACUAGCGAUAGUGCGCAAAUCCCAUAAACCGUUGCUCAGUUCAGAUUGCAGGCUGCAACUCGCCUGCAUGAAGGCGGAAUCGCUAGUAAUCGCAGGUCAGCAUACUGCGGUGAAUACGUUCCCGG